GGGGUAGUGGCGCAAUUGGUAGACGCAGCCGACUUGGACUCGGCUGGCGCGAAAGCGCCUUGGGGGUUCGAGUCCCCUCUACCCCA
This 86-nucleotide transfer RNA is filed under the name Acidobacteriota bacterium. RNAcentral describes it as "Acidobacteria bacterium tRNA-Pro". It matches the Rfam family "tRNA". Rfam says of the family: Transfer RNA (tRNA) molecules are approximately 80 nucleotides in length. The record is from RNAcentral. Lineage: Bacteria; Pseudomonadati; Acidobacteriota.